Molecule: ribosomal RNA, 500 nt
Filed under: uncultured bacterium
Lineage: Bacteria
Description: bacterial SSU rRNA
Rfam family: Bacterial small subunit ribosomal RNA
Source: RNAcentral
GACGAACGCUGGCGGCGUGCCUAAUACAUGCAAGUCGAGCGGAAUGAUGAAGAAGCUUGCUUCUUCUGAUUUUAGCGGCGGACGGGUGAGUAACACGUGGGCAACCUACCUUGUAGAUUGGGAUAACUCCGGGAAACCGGGGCUAAUACCGAAUAAUCCAUUUUGCUUCAUGGCGAGAUGUUGGAAGACGGUUUCGGCUGUCACUACAAGAUGGGCCCGCGGCGCAUUAGCUAGUUGGUAGGGUAAUGGCCUACCAAGGCGACGAUGCGUAGCCGACCUGAGAGGGUGAUCGGCCACACUGGGACUGAGACACGGCCCAGACUCCUACGGGAGGCAGCAGUAGGGAAUCUUCCACAAUGGACGAAAGUCUGAUGGAGCAACGCCGCGUGAGUGAAGAAGGUUUUCGGAUCGUAAAACUCUGUUGUAAGGGAAGAACACGUACGAGAGUAACUGCUCGUACCUUGACGGUACCUUAUUAGAAAGCCACGGCUAACUACGUG